Non-coding RNA from Pantoea vagans C9-1, 38 nucleotides. NCBI's taxonomy places the organism in Bacteria, Pseudomonadati, Pseudomonadota, Gammaproteobacteria, Enterobacterales, Erwiniaceae. The record is from Rfam.
CAGCAUCGUGGGAGCUGUAACCCAGGGGCGGUAGCGUG